UCGAGCGGAUGAAGUGAGCUUGCUCACGGAAUCAGCGGCGGACGGGUGAGUAAUGCCUAGGAAUCUGCCUGGUAGUGGGGGACAACGUUUCGAAAGGAACGCUAAUACCGCAUACGUCCUACGGGAGAAAGCAGGGGACCUUCGGGCCUUGCGCUAUCAGAUGAGCCUAGGUCGGAUUAGCUAGUUGGUGAGGUAAUGGCUCACCAAGGCUACGAUCCGUAACUGGUCUGAGAGGAUGAUCAGUCACACUGGAACUGAGACACGGUCCAGACUCCUACGGGAGGCAGCAGUGGGGAAUAUUGGACAAUGGGCGAAAGCCUGAUCCAGCCAUGCCGCGUGUGUGAAGAAGGUCUUCGGAUUGUAAAGCACUUUAAGUUGGGAGGAAGGGUUGUAGAUUAAUACUCUGCAAUUUUGACGUUACCGACAGAAUAAGCACCGGCUAACUCUGUGCCAGCAGCCGCGGUAAUACAGAGGGUGCAAGCGUUAAUCGGAAUUACUGGGCGUAAAGCGCGCGUAGGUGGUUCGUUAAGUUGGAUGUGAAAUCCCCGGGCUCAACCUGGGAACUGCAUCCAAAACUGGCGAGCUAGAGUAUGGUAGAGGGUGGUGGAAUUUCCUGUGUAGCGGUGAAAUGCGUAGAUAUAGGAAGGAACACCAGUGGCGAAGGCGACCACCUGGACUGAUACUGACACUGAGGUGCGAAAGCGUGGGGAGCAAACAGGAUUAGAUACCCUGGUAGUCCACGCCGUAAACGAUGUCAACUAGCCGUUGGGAGCCUUGAGCUCUUAGUGGCGCAGCUAACGCAUUAAGCGAACGCUUAGGGACGCGCCAGGAAAC
This 834-nucleotide ribosomal RNA is filed under the name Pseudomonas koreensis. RNAcentral describes it as "bacterial SSU rRNA". It matches the Rfam family "Bacterial small subunit ribosomal RNA", at positions 62 to 892 of the family's 1533-position model. Lineage: Bacteria; Pseudomonadati; Pseudomonadota; Gammaproteobacteria; Pseudomonadales; Pseudomonadaceae. The record is from RNAcentral.